GAAAAGAGUUAGAAAUA
This 17-nucleotide transfer RNA is filed under the name Aneides flavipunctatus (black salamander). Its description in RNAcentral is "partial tRNA-Ser". Lineage: Eukaryota; Metazoa; Chordata; Amphibia; Caudata; Plethodontidae. The record is from RNAcentral.